AUCCAGCUGACGAGUCCUAAAUAAGACGAAACGCCCGUCCUGGAU
Molecule: non-coding RNA, 45 nt
Filed under: Schistosoma mansoni
Lineage: Eukaryota; Metazoa; Platyhelminthes; Trematoda; Strigeidida; Schistosomatidae
Source: RNAcentral